RNAcentral lists this ribosomal RNA (723 nucleotides) under uncultured Glomus. Its description in RNAcentral is "SSU rRNA". It matches the Rfam family "Eukaryotic small subunit ribosomal RNA", at positions 374 to 1101 of the family's 1831-position model. The record is from RNAcentral. Lineage: Eukaryota; Fungi; Glomeromycota; Glomeromycetes; Glomerales; Glomeraceae.
GGCACGACCCGGAGAGGGAGCCUGAGAACGGAUACCACAUGCAGGAUGGCAGCAGGCGCGCAAAUUACCCAAUCCCAACACGGGGAGGUAGUGACAAUAAAUAACAAUACGGGGUUCUUAUGGAUCUCGUAAUUGGAAUGAGUACAAUUUAAAUCUCUUAACGAGGAACAAUUGGAGGGCAAGUCUGGUGCCAGCAGCCGCGGUAAUUCCAGCUCCAAUAGCGUAUAUUAAAGUUGUUGCAGUUAAAAAGCUCGUAGUUGAAUUUCGGGAUCAAUUUAUCGGUCGUGCCAAUGGUAUGAACUGGUACAAUUGGUUUCUUCCUUCUGAUAAAGCGUGAUGCCAUUAACUUGGUGUCGCCGGGGAAUCAGAACUGUUACUUUGAAAAAAUUAGAGUGUUUAAAGCAGGCUUAGGCUUGAAUACAUUAGCAUGGAAUAAUGAAAUAGGACGUUUGAUCCUAUUUUGUUGGUUUCUAGGAUCGACGUAAUGAUUAAUAGGGAUAGUUGGGGGCAUUAGUAUUCAAUUGUCAGAGGUGAAAUUCUUGGAUUUAUUGAAGACUAACUACUGCGAAAGCAUUUGCCAAGGAUGUUUUCAUUAAUCAAGAACGAAAGUUAGGGGAUCGAAGACGAUCANAUACCGUCGUANUCUUAACCAUAACUAUGCCGACUAGGGAUCGGAUGAUGUUAGUUUUUUAAAUGACUCAUCGGCGCCUUACGGGAAACCAA